AGAAUGCGAUUUAAAUUUUUGAAUGCGCGGUUUUGCUCACCUCAGCCGCGUGAAUUUCAGCUCGGAUCGGCACUCAUCGGCCAUCGGCGAUCAGCGUCUUGAGUUCACGCACAUCCCCGGUUUAAGUCAAGCUGUCUGCCGGUUAAUGAAUGAGGCUAUGGUGACUUACUAGAGGAACUGCAGUUGGUCCUGGACAGAGCUCGACCCUCCGUGGCUUUGGUGUCCUCCAUCUGAAUCAGAGCUUUCAUCAUGGGUGUCAGAGGAACAUCUUUCUUCUUCUGCUCAUCGGUGUGAAGCUGUAUCUGCUCUCUCUCUGGAGGAGACAGCCAUCUGGAGACGUGAAGAGACACGCCUCCUUCUCAUCCACCUCCUUACAGGCGCGUUGGACGGCUUCUUCCAGCUGUCGCAGGCGGUUCUUCAGUUUGUUCACGGUACCGUCUUUCUCGCGGCUGCUGUGUUUGGUCUCCUCUAAUCUCUGCUGC
This is a non-coding RNA of Misgurnus anguillicaudatus (oriental weatherfish), 482 nucleotides long. NCBI's taxonomy places the organism in Eukaryota, Metazoa, Chordata, Actinopteri, Cypriniformes, Cobitidae. The record is from RefSeq and is a predicted model, not a curated record.